RNAcentral lists this long non-coding RNA (333 nucleotides) under Manihot esculenta (cassava). RNAcentral describes it as "long non-coding RNA (MESC_LNC003329)". The record is from RNAcentral. Lineage: Eukaryota; Viridiplantae; Streptophyta; Magnoliopsida; Malpighiales; Euphorbiaceae.
UCUUUCCUUUUUCCACUUCUACUCUCUAGCUAUCUCCUUUCCCUUUGAUGUUCCUUCACCUAGGUCAAUUUAUAUCUUAGGGAAGGAUUAAAUAAACUAUAAAUUAAAGUUUUAUAAUUCAAAUUCAUGCAUGAAGAAAUAAGAAGAUGCCAUUUCUUACACACUUCUAAGCUCACCUUUGAUUUUCAAGGUUGAUGUAUAUGGAACCCUAAACUUUUCUUCUUCAAUUCCUUCAAUAUAUGGCUGUUCCUUUAGCUCUUGGUCUUAGGGUAAAUUUUGGUUAAAGGAAGAAGUUGAUUGAGUGAGAUUUGGCUUGGCUUUGGUGGAAGGAAG